Molecule: ribosomal RNA, 497 nt
Filed under: uncultured bacterium
Lineage: Bacteria
Description: partial 16S ribosomal RNA
Rfam family: Bacterial small subunit ribosomal RNA
Source: RNAcentral
GAUGAACGCUGGCGGCGUGCCUAAUACAUGCAAGUCGAGCGAACGGACGAGAAGCUUGCUUCUCUGAUGUUAGCGGCGGACGGGUGAGUAACACGUGGUUAACCUACCUAUAAGACUGGGAUAACUUCGGGAAUCCGGAGCUAAUACCGGAUAAUAUUUUGAACCGCAUGGUUCAAAAGUGAAAGACGGUCUUGCUGUCACUUAUAGAUGGAUCCGCGCUGCAUUAGCUAGUUGGUAAGGUAACGGCUUACCAAGGCAACGAUGCAUAGCCGACCUGAGAGGGUGAUCGGCCACACUGGAACUGAGACACGGUCCAGACUCCUACGGGAGGCAGCAGUAGGGAAUCUUCCGCAAUGGGCGAAAGCCUGACGGAGCAACGCCGCGUGAGUGAUGAAGGUCUUCGGAUCGUAAAACUCUGUUAUUAGGGAAGAACAUAUGUGUAAGUAACUGUGCACAUCUUGACGGUACCUAAUCAGAAAGCCACGGCUAACUACGUG